Molecule: ribosomal RNA, 509 nt
Filed under: uncultured bacterium
Lineage: Bacteria
Description: bacterial SSU rRNA
Rfam family: Bacterial small subunit ribosomal RNA
Source: RNAcentral
UUCUGGCUCAGGAUGAACGCUAGCUACAGGCUUAACACAUGCAAGUCGAGGGGCAGCAUUGGAGUAGCAAUACUCAGAUGGCGACCGGCGCACGGGUGAGUAACACGUAUCCAACCUGCCGCUUACUCGGGGAUAGCCUUUCGAAAGAAAGAUUAAUACCCGAUGGUAUAAAGAGUUCGCAUGUUCUCUUAUUAAAGAAUUUCGGUAAGCGAUGGGGAUGCGUUCCAUUAGAUAGUUGGCGGGGUAACGGCCCACCAAGUCUACGAUGGAUAGGGGUUCUGAGAGGAAGGUCCCCCACAUUGGAACUGAGACACGGUCCAAACUCCUACGGGAGGCAGCAGUGAGGAAUAUUGGUCAAUGGACGAGAGUCUGAACCAGCCAAAAGUAGCGUGAAGGAUGACUGCCCUAUGGGUUGUAAACUUCUUUUAUAAGGGAAUAAAGUGAGGGACGUGUCCCUUUUUGUAUGUACCUUAUGAAUAAGGAUCGGCUAACUCCGUGCCAGCCGCGGC